RNAcentral lists this ribosomal RNA (253 nucleotides) under uncultured bacterium. RNAcentral describes it as "partial 16S ribosomal RNA". It matches the Rfam family "Bacterial small subunit ribosomal RNA", at positions 524 to 776 of the family's 1533-position model. The record is from RNAcentral.
UACGUAGGGGGCGAGCGUUGUCCGGAGUUACUGGGCGUAAAGCGCUUGUAGGCGGUCCACCAAGUUUGGGGUGACAGUUGCCGACUUAAUCGGCAAAGUGCCUCAAAGACUGGCGGACUUGAGGGCGACAGAGGGACAUGGAACUCCAGGUGUAGUGGUGAAAUGCGUAGAUAUCUGGAAGAACACCAAAGGCGAAGGCAGUGCCCUGGGUGGUAGCUGACGCUGAGAGGCGAAAGCGAGGGGAGCGAACGGG